Molecule: non-coding RNA, 396 nt
Organism: Pelobates cultripes (western spadefoot toad)
Lineage: Eukaryota; Metazoa; Chordata; Amphibia; Anura; Pelobatidae
Source: the annotation of a GenBank genome assembly
CAGACUGCUCAAUGAGGUGAAGAAGAAUCCUAGAGUGUCAGCUAAAGACUUACAAAAGUCACUGGCAAAUGCUAACAUCCCUGUUAGCGAAUCUACAAUACGUAAAACACUAAACAAGAAUGGAUUUCAUGGGAGGAUACCACAGAGGAAGCCACUGCUGUCCAAACAAAACAUUGCUGCACGUUUACAGUUUGCACAAGAGCACCUGGAUGUUACACAGCAGUACUGGCAAAAUAUUCUGUGGACAGAUGAAACCAAAGUUGAGUUGUUUGGAAGAAACACACAACACUAUGUGUGGCGAAAAAAAGGCACAGCACACCAAUAUCAAAACCUCAUCCCAACUGUGAAGUAUGGUGGUGGGGGCAUCAUGGUUUGGGGCUGCUUUGCUGCGUCAGG